GUUGUAGUGAGUUCAUUUGAUCACAGAGUAUUCGAUCGUCUGCUCCUGUGUACAUCCCUGAACAUUCGUUGCUCAACCUCUCAUCUUUAAUAGACGGUACUGAUAUAUCGGAGAACAGCAAGAAUGGUUAAAGUUGUUAUUGGGAUCGCAUUGGUAGUGCUGAUGCUGGUGGAGGGAGCUAACAGCAGAUGUGCAUCAACAGGCCAGACGUGUGGUAGGGACACGCACUGCUGUCACUCACUCGAAACCUGUCUGACGUCACGUCAGGAAAUAGGCGGAAACCUAAUCGUCAGAAAUUUCUGCAGAAAUGUGCGACUUGACCAGGCGGAUGGCACUCCGCUUUUAUCGGACGGUGAACCAUGCACCGACAGCAUCCGUUGCCAGAGUAUGUGUUGCCAAGAUUUAACAGCUAACCACAAAAGAUACAUGAACAAGUGCGGCCCACAAAGGGACGAAAUCAUGCCAUGGCGCAACUGCCUCACUCUACCACGCUAAAAAAUAAACCGGGAGUGAUCUCCC
Molecule: long non-coding RNA, 519 nt
Organism: Physella acuta
Lineage: Eukaryota; Metazoa; Mollusca; Gastropoda; Physidae
Source: RefSeq, a predicted model, not a curated record